UGCAACUGCCUCUGUUUCCGUUUCCUUCUUCUCCAUUGCAAAACUCAAGGCCCUUCCGUUUCGCAUUGUCGAUUCUUCUUACACCUGAUCAUUCAUACAUUACUUACUUGUCCUAUGCUUCUUCCUCAUCAAAUCGCCAUUGCUGAUUAAUUCCCUCAUUGCAGCCAGCCUCAGCUGAAUCUUCUUCCGCUGUCAUGUGGUGGACCUUCGCCAGACGAGUUUCCGCUGUCAUGUGGAGGACCUUCGCCAGACGAGUUUCCGCUUCCAAGCGGCUCAAAUUCCCCCCAAAC
RNAcentral lists this long non-coding RNA (290 nucleotides) under Linum usitatissimum (flax). RNAcentral describes it as "long non-coding RNA (LUSI_LNC005069)". The record is from RNAcentral. Lineage: Eukaryota; Viridiplantae; Streptophyta; Magnoliopsida; Malpighiales; Linaceae.